GGGCGUGUAGCUCAGUUGGUAGAGCGGGUGUCUUAUACACACCUGGUCAUAGGUUCGAGUCCUAUCGCGCCCA
This 73-nucleotide transfer RNA is filed under the name Candidatus Levybacteria bacterium RIFCSPHIGHO2_01_FULL_40_10. RNAcentral describes it as "tRNA-Ile". It matches the Rfam family "tRNA". Rfam says of the family: Transfer RNA (tRNA) molecules are approximately 80 nucleotides in length. Their secondary structure includes four short double-helical elements and three loops (D, anti-codon, and T loops). Further hydrogen bonds mediate the characteristic L-shaped molecular structure. tRNAs have two regions of fundamental functional importance: the anti-codon, which is responsible for specific mRNA codon recognition, and the 3' end, to which the tRNAs corresponding amino acid is attached (by aminoacyl-tRNA synthetases). tRNAs cope with the degeneracy of the genetic code in two manners: having more than one tRNA (with a specific anti-codon) for a particular amino acid; and 'wobble' base-pairing, i.e. permitting non-standard base-pairing at the 3rd anti-codon position. RNAcentral also lists the same sequence under 2 other names. Lineage: Bacteria; Candidatus Levyibacteriota. The record is from RNAcentral.